Molecule: long non-coding RNA, 2835 nt
Filed under: Macaca mulatta (Rhesus monkey)
Lineage: Eukaryota; Metazoa; Chordata; Mammalia; Primates; Cercopithecidae
Description: lncRNA (ENSMMUG00000063262.1)
Source: RNAcentral
AGCCUGGACUGGGACCUUGCACUGGGGACUUGCUUUCUGCAAUCAGGCACUUUUUCAAGUUGGUUCUGAGCAGUUCUGUACUGGAUGGCGGGCUGCUGUAUGUGAUUGAGAAUGUUGCCUGUCUGAGCCCUGAGAUGAGCUGAGGGUUCCUCCUCCCCAGCCAGUGCCAGCCUCACAUAGCCCUUGUAAAUCUGAAAGUGCUGUUGGUAGCAACCAGGGAUGGGCAGAGGCAGCCCUGUCCUGAGGGUGACAUGAAAGUGAGAGCAAGCUGACGCUCCAGUUGCCUUAGUCUUCAAAAGUGUCACUUUCAGAUUGUAUCCUUCAACUUUAAAAUGUCCUUCUUUGGAGUCCAUCUUGCUCUGCCCAUUAUUGGGCCCCAGUGGUCACUUCCUCCUCCACGCUCCUGUGGCCUGGGAUUCACACCAGGAAAGAACGCCACGAAGAAGGAAUGGUUCAAAGAGGUUCACAGAGCCCUCAAGUACUGAGGGAAAGGUCUGCUCAGGGCACUUGAUCUCUGCCUGGAAGUAUAAUGAGGGUUUGCAUCUGGACAGUAGGGGAUGGAAGGCGGUCAUUCCACGUGGACGUAAGACUGGGCUGAAGAAAGAAAGGUUCCUUAAAUACAAUCUUAAAAUGUGAUCAUUGGCACAGAAUUCAGCUUUCUGAGUUACUACAUCUCCCAAAACAUGAGGAUGAAAGGGACGUUCUUCACAGGGGCAGGCAGUCUCUCCCAGAUCCACAAGGUCCUUCCCAUUUAUAUGCCCUACAGGUAUAAAAUCAAAGCAGGGGCAAAAUUGUUUUGUUGUAGGAGAGAUGAGCGCAUGAAGGAAAUGUCUGCACAAUUGGAGUGCCAGGAGGACAAUGAAGCCAAUCCCACAGAGAGGAAGCACACAGGGUGUCUCCAUGUCUCCAGUGGAAUAAAUCAUUUGCAAGGGCUGUGGCUAAUGUUUGGUCUGAACGAGGACCACACAGCUGGGACACUCUGUACUUUUGAUCUGGCCUUUCAAGCUUGGGUGAUGCCAGGAAAUUGCAUUUAAUGGACUGAAUGAAAGCUGCCGUAUAGAAAAUGAGAAGAGAUUAUUAGAAAAACAAUAGAGGCCAUUUUACCGCCCUCAGUGCCUCACACCUGUUUUUUGCGUGAGGUCCGUGAAUCUGGGCUUUGGCAGGGAGACUGGGACUCCGGGGCCACAAGGCCACAGCCUGGCCAGCUUGUGGUUAGAGACUUUCUCUGCACUAUACUGGCUGUGUCAGAGAACCAAGACAUACGUGCCUGCAUCGUCUUCACUGGGCAAGUCAUUUCAGUUGCAGGAAGCCAUGCACCUGCACUUCUUUGCCUUGAAAAUCACUAAUCUGGGGGGAGAGUGAUCAGUCAGCCUUGUCAGAGUUCAAUUGUGUGGCUUUACGCUCAUGGCCACACCUGACCCUUGGGCGCUGUGGGUGUAUAAAUAGCCUUAGAAAUGGUGCUGCUCUCAAGCCCUGUCUUGCAGGACUUCACCUGUAAAGGAAAGCUUUGUCUUCUCAUGACGGGACUUGAGAGCUUAUUUCAAUCCAAGAAAAGGGAGGGAAAACCAUCCUACAUCCCCUGAACAUGGAAACGUUUCAACCCUGAUGACCACUGGAUCUCCACAGCGGUCAGAGGGGCCUGAGGAAGAGUUUCCUUCCUUCCUCUCAUUCUUCCCAGUGUGAGGCUGACACCAGGGUGGAAUUUCCACAGAACUCACAGCACUGGGGGCAGGUGCAAAUGCAGAAGGGUGUAGAAACAGCCGCUUUGACUGGAGAGAGGAGAAAUGCUUGUUAGCUUCCUAUUUCCAUAUGACUGCAUGUCAUCAGUUCUGACAUGUUUCCAGGACAGAAAUUCCCUCUUGUGAGAGAAGUAUUGACAUGAAAUAGUUCCCCGUGAUCGGGGCGAGUGUGCUAAUGAUAAUAAUACAGAGGUGGUUUGUUGACACCAUAUGAGGUGCAUUGGUGCUCAGCUGUGUUUGAUGCUCAAGGAACUCUUUGACAUAGAGAAAGCAAGUGUCAAUAUCAUCUCCCAUUAUACAGAGAGCAAUGCCAAGUCUUAGAGCAUUACAAAGCAGGUCAAAGAAAGGUGGAGUUGGAGCUGAAGGGCAACCAAUUGAUAGUGCACAGAGGCUAAGUUACAUGACCAAGGUCCUUAUCUGGUACAGACAGUUGACUUUUGGCAUCUGUGAGUUCUGCACAGAGUACUACCUAUGGAUAUUUACAUCUUCAGAUGAAGGUGUACUUGAUUACUUGCUCAGCUUCAUAAUUUACCCUUCUUUAAAAAUUACUGGGCAAAUAACUACUACUAUAAAAAGUUCCCCAGCCUAUUCUGGAUUACAAUUUCUGAUGAAGAUCUUUUUCCCUUUCAUGUGCUUGGCCAGAUAUGCUUAGGGUAAACAUUAUGAAGGUGUUUACUGAUUGGCCCUGCUAUUUUAGGGCAUAUGGAAAGUGGAAUGAGCCUUUUUCCCUUCAUCAUAUUCUAGUGGCAUAUAGCAUAUAAAAAUUGAAAAGCUACAUUAAGAAGACACCAUUGGCUGGGCGCGGUGGCUCACACCUGUAAUUCUAGGAUUUUGGGAGGCCGAGGCAGGUGGAUCAUCAGAGGUCAGGAGUUCAAGACCCGCCUGGUCAAUGUGGUGAAACCCUGUCUCUACUAAAAACACAAAAAUUAGCUGGGUGUGGUGGCACGUGCCUGUAGUCCCAGCUACUUGGGAGGCUGAGGCAGGAGAAUCGCUUGAAUCUGGUGGUGAAGGUUGCAGUGAGCUGAGAUCGCGUGCGCCACUGCACUCUAGCCUGGGUGACAACGAGACUGCAUCUCAAAAAAGAAAAGAAAAAAAA